Molecule: ribosomal RNA, 543 nt
Filed under: Boophis doulioti
Lineage: Eukaryota; Metazoa; Chordata; Amphibia; Anura; Mantellidae
Description: partial 16S ribosomal RNA
Rfam family: Bacterial large subunit ribosomal RNA
Source: RNAcentral
CCGAAACUAAGUGAGCUACUUCAAAACAGCCCUGGGGCCAACCCGUCUCUGUUGCAAAAGAGUGGGAAGAUUUUCAAGUAGAGGUGAUAAACCUACCGAACUUAGAGAUAGCUGGUUACUUAAGAAACGAAUAUAAGUUCGACCCUGAGCCUACUAUUAAAUAAAAAACCUUCUAAGACUCAGGAUUUAUUCAAAUAAGGCACAGCUUGUUUGAAUCAGGAUACAACCUCGUACAAAGGGUAAAACUAUAGAUACAUACAGCAAGUAGGCCUAAAAGCAGCCACCUUUAAAAAAGCGUCAAAGCUUAGCACUAUAAGUCUCCUCAAUACCUCAAUUCUUCUUUAACCCUUCACCAUUAUUAAGUAACUCCAUAACCCUAUGGAAGCUAUUAUGCUAGAACUAGUAACAAGAAAAAGAUUUUUCUCCAAAAUGUAAGUUUAAGCCACAAUAGACUAUCUACUGGCAAUUAACGCAAAUGAACCUCAUUUAGCAACGCUUCAAGAAAACCCUAAAAUUUUUAGCGUUAACCUUACACUAGAGCAU